This is a long non-coding RNA of Photinus pyralis (common eastern firefly), 532 nucleotides long. RefSeq lists it as uncharacterized. Lineage: Eukaryota; Metazoa; Arthropoda; Insecta; Coleoptera; Lampyridae. The transcript has 2 exons. The record is from RefSeq and is a predicted model, not a curated record.
AUUUACGUUAAUUUAAUUAUUUUUACAAAUUUCUAAAACGCUUAGCCCAGUCUUAAGAAGUUCAUAACAUUUAAAAGAAGCUGCGCUAAAACUAAUAAGUACUAGUGCUUACGGCUUACACCUAUUUUGAGAAUUGGGUUGCAAUGUUUUCAUUUGCAAAUUGAUUUAUCAUAUUAAUUCCAUUACAUAUAAGAAUGAUAACAAGUUUGUUUGGAUAUCUACUUCUCGUUGGCUGUCGAUUACGAGGAGAGCAGCAAGAGGGCCGAUGAUUGCUCCGUGCAAAUCUACAAUUUGGUGUAUGCAGUGUCGUUUGAUUAUUAUGGUCUUACUACACGGAAGUAACUGAUGUCGGAAAUUUUCAUCAUAGAUAUGAGCAUAGAUAUCGACAAGAAGACCGUUUUCAUAUGCGUACACCUCCUUUUCGGAAACUGUCAUCUUCAGAGAAAUAUACUUGCUUGUAGAUAUAUAAUUUAUGGAAUAAUGUAUACAGUUUAAUGUUAACAAUGGCAGAAAUAAUAAUAAUUACAAAACA